UGAAUACGAGAUGCUACGGCGUCGAAGCAGUCUAUGUCAUACUUCCAAGAAAAGCUUGCACUGUCAUAAACAAAUAAUGCCUGUACCAUAACCGACACAGGUGGGUAGGUAGAGUAUACUAAGGGGCGCGAGAUAACUCUCUCUAAGGAACUCGGCAAAAUGACUCCGUAACUUCGGGAGAAGGAGUGCCUUAUUUUAUAAGGUUGCAAUAACAAGAUCCAAGCAACUGUUUACCAAAAACACAGGUCUCCGCUAAGUCGUAAGACGAUGUAUGGGGGCUGACGCCUGCCCAGUGCCAGAAGGUUAAAGAAGUUGGUUAGCAUCCGCGAAGCUGAUAACUGAAGCCCUGGUGAACGGCGGCCGUAACAAUAACGGUCCUAAGGUAGCGAAAUUCCUUGUCGGGUAAGUUCCGACCCGCACGAAAGGCGUAAUGAUUUGGAUACUGUCUCAGAGAGGGGCUCGGUGAAAUAGACUUGUCUGUGAAGAUGCGGACUACCUGCACCAGGACAGAAAGACCCUAUGAAGCUUUACUGUAACUUGAAAUUGAAAUUGGACUUUACUUGCGCAGUAUAGGUGGGAGGCGUUGAGAAUAUUCUUGCGGGAAUGUUGGAGCCAUCAGUGAGAUACCACUCUUGUAAUGUUAGAUUUCUAACUUGUAUCAUUAUCUGGUCAAAGGACAGUUUCAGGCGGGCAGUUUGACUGGGGCGGUCGCCUCCCAAACGGUAACGGAGGCGCACAAAGGUUUCCUCUGAACGGGUAGAAAUCGUAUCUAGAGUGUAAAGGCAUAAGGAAGCUUGACUGUGAGACCUACAAGUCGAGCAGGGACGAAAGUCGGUCUUAGUGAUCUGACGGUGCUGAGUGGAAAGGCCGUCACUCAACGGAUAAAAGUUACUCUAAGGAUAACAGGCUGAUCUCCCCCAAGAGUUCACAUCGACGGGGAGGUUUGGCACCUCGAUGUCGGCUCAUCGCAUCCUGGGGCGGUAGUACGUCCCAAGGGUUGGGCUGUUCGCCCAUGAAAGCGGUACGCGAGCUGGGUUCAGAACGUCGUGAGACAGUUCGGUCCAUAUCCGGUGUAGGCGUUAGAAUAUUGAGAGGAGCCUUCUUUAGUACGAGAGGACCGAGAAGGACAUACCUCUGGUGUACCAGUUAUCGUGCCAACGGUAAACGCUGGGUAGCUAUGUAUGGAGUGGAUAACCGCUGAAAGCAUCUAAGUGGGAAGCCCACCUCAAGAUAAG
RNAcentral lists this ribosomal RNA (1235 nucleotides) under metagenome. RNAcentral describes it as "bacterial LSU rRNA". It matches the Rfam family "Bacterial large subunit ribosomal RNA", at positions 1564 to 2808 of the family's 2925-position model. The record is from RNAcentral.